This 3994-nucleotide transfer RNA is filed under the name Olea europaea subsp. europaea. Lineage: Eukaryota; Viridiplantae; Streptophyta; Magnoliopsida; Lamiales; Oleaceae. The record is from RNAcentral.
CGGCUGCAAAUACAGAUUAACCAGAUGCAAAUGAUGAGAAAGAUCACCUAUUAUCUUGUUGUAAUUGUAUAGAUUAGAAUUAGAUUACUUCAUGUUCUCUAUGAAAGGAAGGUGUGUAUGUAGUGUCAACAUAUGCAGAGGGAGUGUAAAGAAAAUUUCUACAGAGAGAGAGUGUGUGUAUGCUGUAGCAGCUCAUUUGUAAUCUCCCAAAUUUUAUGAGUAAAAUUUCAUAUUUCUCCUAUCUAUUUCCUUCUACACCCAACAUUUUCUCUUCAAUCUCUUCAAAUCAUCUGUUCCCAGGCAAAUUUCUUCGAAACUAUGUUCUUCAAAUUACUUAUCAUUGCUCAUGCAUUUUUAUAGAUCUGUGAAAUCGGUUGAGAAGCCUUCACCUGUUAAUUCUCCAAUCGAUCAGCAGCAUCAUAUGACAAUGGGUCAGGCUUCAAUUUUCUCCAGUUAAUUCUCCAAUCGAUCCAAUUUUUCCCUAUAUCGUCCACUAGUGGAGGCUGCCCAUCCAACAGUUUAUGUUUGUACUUCCUUUUUAAUUCUAUUGAAUGCCAAUUGUUCUUGACAUUUACCGUGUGUUGAGUUCUAUUCGGGAACAACGAUUGCGCUGCUUGCCCCACAAACUGUGCUAGUAGCCGCUCUGUGAGAGAUGAUCCAAAUUAUGAUGCUUCAUUGCUGCUCUAUAUACAGACAUUGUGAGGAAAAGGUAUUAUUGGAGCAACAGUGUCCCUUCUUCUAGGCAAUAUUUUAUUCAAUUUGGUUCAAAUGAAACACUUGUCUUAUCACUAUUUUAGGAAUUUGCUUUCCAUGAAGAGGAGAAGACCCCAAUUUGGUGUCUAAAUCAGCUCUGAUUUAUCAGCUUUGCAUGAUUCUUCCAUUAAAAAGAAGAAUAGCUCCGAUUUGUUGUCUAAAACCAAAGAAGGAUAACUCCGAUGUGAUUAGGUAUAGGUUAGGUUUAGGUGGUGGAGAUCGAGGUGGAAGUAGAAGUAGAGGUAGAGGUAGAGGUGGAGGUGAAAGGGGAAGAUAGAAGAGAUUUUUUUCCCCUAAUUUUUAAUUUAGGAUUCGUUUGCACUUUUUUUUCAAAAAAAAUAAAAAUUAAGACUACAAUUGCAAUUAGUUCUUUAUUUUUUUAUUAUUUUAUUUAAAUAAGAGAGUAUAUUCAUCAUUUCAUAACUUUUUAUUGAGAAAUUGGAUAAAAAUGGAUUAGAAUGAUGGUUUCUGCAGUAAAAAGUUGAAAUAGGGAUGGGAAAAAAAAAGUAGAAACGUUUUGCACAUUAAACUCCAUAUAUAGGGAUGUUUUGUGCUAAUAACCCAUAUAGAAUGGUUAUUCGUGUAGAGUCGAAAACCCAAAUCGACGUUCUUCUGUUUGUCCAAAGUUUGGUAGAUGUGGAAUACAACUACUAUAUAAGGUGUUAUGUACAAAUAUUCUAAUAAUUCGAGAAAGUUAGAAUUUGGAAUAAUUCAACUUUCAUGAUAUUAGAGCAAACAGAAAAUUACGAAAAUGAAAUAAUUUAGUUUGAAUAAUAUUAAGCAGUUUAAUGUAUUUUCAUAUUUUGUGUUAUUUUUCUUAUUCAUUUCUUUAUUAAACAAUAUUCCAUUUUGAAAUUUUAAAAUACUUGGCAUGACCUAAGAGUCAUUGGUCAUUAAAUAGUUAAUAGAUACUAAAAUAUCAACUGCACUGCAAUACUGCAUAAUGUUUUUUAUUAAUUUUUUAUCAAUCAAGAAAAAGAAACGCAAACCAUUUCUAAGAAUGAAAAUGACAUUUUAAACACGAAUUAAGGAUUGAAUGAAAAGAAAAAGCUAUCAACAGAAGGAAUAUAUGAAGUUGAGGUAAUAACAUAAAAAUCAUAAUUAUUUGAAAGUAACUUUUAAGUUUAAAUGUACCGUAAGAAUUAUAUUUUCAAACAAAAUAACUUUUUUCCUUAAUAAAUUUUAGGAACACAAUCAAAUUUGUGUGAAAAUAAAGAAUUACUUAAAAUAAAUUUUAAACUAUUUUUUUUUAAAUCUUUGAUUAUAUUGAAAUAAGUGCAACUUUGAUGGCUUUAGUGUUGUCCUUGUCCAAUUGUUCACACGGCGGCCUGAAGAAACGGGCUGUAAUGGGUCAAACCUGCCAUUUUUAGUUGCGAAAAGUUUUUAUUACAAAAAUAAAAAACAUCGCUUUUGCCGGGGAUCGAACCCGGGUCACCCGCGUGACAGGCGGGAAUACUCACCACUAUACUACAACGACCUGGUUGAAUAUUUUCAGAUAUGUUUAUUUAUAUUAUUUUAUAGACAUAAUGAUAUGCACGUAAAUAUGGAUUUUAAUAAAAUAAUCUCUUCAGUUAAAAGACUGAAAUUAUCUAAUAUAACUAAAUUGGGAAGUUAUUGAUUAAUAAUUAAGAAGUUUUGAACAAAAUACAAAAUCAAGCGCAAUGGACACAGGGUGGGCCCGGGUCCAAGACUAAUUAGCAAAGGUCUGGGGUCUCAAUAUUUUAGGGGCCUCAUUCAAAAAAUCAGAUCAUUUAUUUGGUGCACUUUUGGAAUUUCAAUUGCUCUUUAAAGUAAUUAUUCAUUUUUUUCGUAUGUGAUUUUUUUUUUUGAUAUCCAGGUAUCCCAAUUUAUAUCAAACUAAAUCCUGGACCUAUUUUAUUUUAUUUAUUAUUAUUAUUUUGUAUAAAGCAAGAUAUAGUAGUUCAUUAGCUAAAAAAGUAAAGCGAUUGAUUUAAUAUAAAUAUAUUAUGUAUUUAAAUACUCAUAUAUUACUAAGCUUGCAAAAAAUCUUGUUUAAUGAUUUCAUAAUAGUUAGUCCCAUAAAAAACAAUAGUUUGAAUAGUGAUUUUUAAGAGUGUGAGGUUAAAAAUAGAAAAGAAUUUUGGAUUUAUGUACAAAAUAUUUUAUUGUUUGAAUAUAUGGUUAAAAAUAAUUAUGUAGGAAAAAGAGUUGUAAAUAAUGGUUGUCAAACAGGGAUUUUGUCGCCUAGAACCUCAAAAUUCAUAGGAUAUAUGAAUCAUUAUUACAUUAUAAAUCAUACUAUAAUAGGAUCAUGCUACAUUUAUAAACUUUUUUUAACAAAAUCCUUUUCUCACUACUUACAAUAGGAGGUGGAGACUACAAGUCGAUAUUUUUUAAAUUUACGUGGAACCACUUUUUUGUAAGAGUAAGCAACCCAUUUUGUACACAUUUAUUUGUACAUAUAUAUUUAUCCACUAUAAUAAAUGUCACUAUUUACCUUAUGGGAGUCAAUAUUUUUGUCCAUCAUUCUUAUAUAUUUAUCCAAUUCUAAAUCUAUCUCUAUCAAAAAUUUUAAGAAAUAUUAUAUUCAUACAUUUUAUAUUAUAAUAUUGUCCUUAUUAAAUUUAUUUAUCUAAACACUAUAUAUCCACGAUGCUUCUACUCAUCAAUCCCACUUUUAUUAAACAUGAAAAUGCAUAUAAUUACGUCAAUUUGCUUAAUUAAUUUUAUACUAAAUUAAUAUUUAAUAGGGACCAAUUCAGACAUAUGACCAGUUCUCAUCAAGAUCUCAACUUUUUCUUCUUUGCAAUGUAUAGCAGCCUCUUCAUAUGGUUGAACCUUCUUUUAAAGUAGAAUUUUGCUCUUCUAUAUGAAAUCUUAGGUUGCGGUUGGUUUGCCGUUUUCUGGCCAUUUUCCGUUUUCCGUUUUCGAAAAUGCGUUUAAUCCGUCGUUUUUGAAAAUGAAAAUGGAAAACGAAAAUGUAAACCAACUGCUACCUUAACUUUUUGACCCUUAAGUCUGUUCACAUGUGCUUACCACUUAAUUUUUCUAGUUCUUGUUCAAUAUAUGCACACUUUUCACCUGUGACUUCUUUAACUUGAUAUUCAUUCGACUUUUGUUGUGCUUUCUUGAUUGCUCAUGUGAAUUUAGUGAAAGUUGAAAUUUCGUGGUGCCUAAGGUUGUCUAUCGAUAGCUGAGAACCAGCUAUCAGAAUGUUUAUCACUGUACUAGGAGCCAUUGUCAAAAUCUGUUCGGCUUGGACGUGUGGCCUCUACAGAAG